GGGGAAACUUCGAAUGAAGGUAAAGUGUCCAGCAUUUGAGGAGCUUCUUCCUGAAGCUUAGCUGCUGCCACCAACCUAGGUAGGAGCGCCUCCUCCGAUGUACAAAACUUCAGAAUCCGGUGGUCAGAGGAGAAGAGCCUUAGACUAUCACGCCGGCUAAGCUGCCGGAGAUCGUGACGGUGAGUUCGUUGAACUAUAUUGGUCCGGUUAACAGUUACAAUGCCGGUGGUACAUUUCUGGACGAUUUGUGGUGGUCCUCUUAUCAUCGGGCCCUAUUUUGGAGAAGAGAAUCGUUGGAAUAAAAUAAAAUCU
RNAcentral lists this unclassified non-coding RNA (312 nucleotides) under Hevea brasiliensis (rubber tree). The record is from RNAcentral. Lineage: Eukaryota; Viridiplantae; Streptophyta; Magnoliopsida; Malpighiales; Euphorbiaceae.